Long non-coding RNA from Prinia subflava (tawny-flanked prinia), 1763 nucleotides. RefSeq lists it as uncharacterized. The transcript has 3 exons. The record is from RefSeq and is a predicted model, not a curated record. NCBI's taxonomy places the organism in Eukaryota, Metazoa, Chordata, Aves, Passeriformes, Cisticolidae.
AAGAGAUAUGAGCAGGGAAUAAGAUCCAAGAAGCAAAAAUCAUAUCCCAUGCUUGCAUCAGAACACAAAACAACACAAAGUACAACAUCUUGGCAUACAGAAAAGCAACAAAGGAAUUGCAUAGUUAUAAACAUCAGCAAUGUAUCUUGUCAUAGCACUUAAUCAAAUGUCAGACACCGUAAUAACACUGUCUGAUCUGUUAGACAUUGUUAAAUGGCUUUCAUCCCUUCCCCUCAGUAUUCUCUUGUGAGGUCCAGCAGCGCCUAGAUUUCUAUUAUUUAAUUUUUUUUUCUUCCUAUAGAAAUGGUCUGAGAUUUCCAAGGCUUUAAAUGGGUUCACACUUUUGAAAUCAACUAACAGUGGAGGCUGCAGAAAAACCUUGACAACUUAAAAAAAAAAUAAAAAAAGCUGGACAAAAGGGAUUUCCACUGAAGCAAUCACCAGUAAGAAAUCUGGCUAUUUAAUACUUGUUAAUUUAACACUUAAGACACAACAUUAUGGCAAACAAUGUUCUGGAAAAACAAACACAUCCUAAAAACUCCUUACUGCAUCCUGAUGCACUUGUUACCAAGGAAGGGAUUGUUUACAUUAAUUUUACACCUGGAGGGGAAGGAGGAAUUUUAAGAUAUGGGAGCUAAAGUGGCAAACUGUAGAAGGUGGCAUUUUCAAAAUCAUACUUCUAAGGAAUGUAUCUGAAUACAUCCCUUCACUUUCAUGGAUCACUUGUCCUGCCAAGGAGGGAAGUUCGCUAAAUUGCCACAGCUUCUCAAGUAUGAUGGAUGGUGGCCUAGCCAAUUGCUCUGUCAGUUCCCUCAGGACCCACAGGCAUCAGGUCCCAUGGACUUGUGCACCUUCAGGUUCCUUAAAUGGUCUCAAACCUGACCCUCUCUGAGAGUAAGCAGUGCUUCACUCUUCUUGACCCUGCCUCUGCCCUCUGCAACUUGGGCCAUGUGGUUAGAGAACCUUUGGGUUGGUUGAUUGAAACUCUUCAGCGUGUUUUGGAACAAGGAAACUCUUCAGAAGUUUCACAGGUUCUCUUUAAUACCUCACUCAAGUUUAAUGCCUUGGAUGACUACACUCUGAGAGUGGCACCUGGACAGAUCAUUAAUCUGUGCACCUUAAACAAAGCCCACCUUCUGCCUCUUCCCCUGUCUCUGCUUUCCUGAACAUGUCCCCUUCUGCACUCACCCUACAACUCAAAAUGGAGACUUCUCAAGGAGCACAAGAGAUCAAGAGUAAGCACAGUGGGCAGAAGUUCUGGAUCAGCCAUCAACCACAUGUCUCAAACACAUCACAAGUUUUUGUUCCUGCCCCCACAGUACUGGGAAUUUCCACUCUCCUCAGCUGCAGUACAAGCCAGGAGAACUGUUUAUACGGCUGUGCAAGCCUCCCCCUCGAUCAGAGGGAGCACCAGCUGUGUUUUGUGGGGUGCUGGUCUGGAGUUCCACACAAAAGUAGUGCUGCACCUGGGCAAAGUCCCACCCCCUCUGUUCAGCUGCACUGCAGGCACAACUUACACCUGCACACGUUGAUACCUUAGAGAUCUUGGAAUGUUUUGCUAAAGCGGACUCCACCAAGGAAAAAAUCAGUUCCUGAAUGCAAAAGCCUUUCAAAAGACAUAAUUGAAUCUUACUAAUUUCUGAGCUUACAGGAAGAGCAAGCAAGGGCUUGUGCUGCAGCAUUUAGAAGGGUUCUAUUAGGAAACUGUUCUGAUUAUUUUAAUGCACAAAAAAAACCCCAAAAAAAAGGCAGGGGGGUGGAAA